GUGAGCGGGUGUGAGGCACACACUGUCAGUACAAAGAAGCGAAGGUGUUAAAACCUGACUUGUUCCUUAGCUGUAAUUAAGGGGCGCUGGAAAGUUGGUCUUGGCCAACAUCCGUGUGGCACACAGUAGUUUGGUGCUGGAUGACACUUCUGAGAGCUGAGCACGGUGGAAAUAGUCAAGGACAUAGGGGUGAAAGAAAGCUAAAUUGAGAUCAGGACACCUUAAUAAGUAAAGAAGAAAACCCGAAGUGAUGCAAGGUCACUCACCACCUCCCACCAGCAAGGCAAAUCUCAGCCAGUUCCUGGGCAACUUCCUUGGAAUCUCCCCCUUCUCUCCAGUUUUUAUUGCUGAAUGCGAUGUUGUGUGGUGUGGAAUAUCUUUUGGUCAGCUGGGGUCAGCUGUCCCAUCCCAGCCUCUUGCCCACCCCCAGCCUUCUUGCUGAGUGUGCAGAGGGAAAAAGAGGGAAGGCCUUGACCCAGGACAAGCAAUGUCCAGUAAUAGCUAAAAGAGUUCCAUCUUAGCACUGUUUGGGACACAAAUCCAAAACAUGGGACUAUAUGGGCUGCUGUGAAGAAAAACAACUCCAUCCCAGCCAAACGCUGUAGAGCAGGGCAACAUUGUGAAAGACAUGAUAAUCCAGGGGCCUUGAAACAGAGCUAGCAAAAGAAUUCAGAGAACAUACAAUCACAAAAAAAAAAAAAAUGCACUCACAGAUUUCAGUAAAAAAAAAUAGUUUAUACUAGAGGGAAAGCAAAAGUGAACAGAAUAUUCAUUCAACACUCAAGUGAGGAUAUCACUGGUGCUUUUCUCUGGAAGGAGUCAAACACAUACCUUUGAUCACAGGACUUACUUUGCAGCAUUGUGUCUGCACAGAGGAAUAUAAUACCUUAGCUGGAUAUCAAAUAUUAAAAGUUCUGACACAUCUAGUGCUGGAAUCAUUGAUUGUGAUGUUCACUGCAAAAUGAUGGAACUGCCUGAAUGGAAAGUCUGGAUGGCAAAAGGUCACAGGGUUCCAUUCAUCCAUUUCAGUGGAUCCUUCCUUUGAAUUGGAAUGGGAGUCCCUGCCUUCUUAAACCCACUGCUCCUAAGAUGCUUUUGGCUACAGUAAGAUGAAGAAUAUAACUUCUGAUGAAGGACUCGUGGGGAAAAUCUGUUUUAAUCCUCUGGUGAGUCCUGAAAUUAGAGAAUCUAGCUUGGUGGAAAGGAGCCCCACCAGCAGCUCUGAAGCUGUGUGCUGCAUGAAAGAGGCCUGGUGACUGCAAAGAAACCCUGUAACUCCUCUGGAAAUGCAAAUGCUGCUGCUGUUCUGCAGGACAGAACCAUGCUGAGCAUCCCAAAAAGGAAGAGGAGUGCAAGUAUCUUUUACAGCUCCAGGGAAAUGCAAGCAUAAACUCUGAUCUGAUGCUAAUGAAAGGACUCCAGCAGACUUUGGAAUAGGCCUAUAGAAAAGAUGUUUAUUCAGCCAAAGGAAAUCAGAAGACGAAACAUGAGAUAAAACAAAGAGAGAGCAUUUGUACAUAAGUCUUACCAGAAAACACGUUUGUUUCAGCAGUUUCCACAGAGCAUAAACACACCUGUUCAAGGUCAAGUGCCAAACCCAACUCUCUCUUAAAGACUGGCAUCUUCUGACUCAUGUCAACACUGCUGUUCAUCCAUUCCCUUUGUCUAGCUGUGCUUUUCAGCAGUUCAAUGUCUCUUUAUUCUCCCUGGACUCAGGAGAAAUUAACACUCGCCUGCCUGAAGAAGUAUACUCUGAGGAAUGUUUCACUUUCUACGUAUCUGACUUUUCUUUGGUCAUCUGAUAUUUCAAAGGUUUGCAAGGUUCCUCAAAUGGACCUUCAAAAGGGAAACUCUUUUUAUCAAACACAAAACCUAGGCAACAAGAUGUGAGCACUUCCAAGAAGAGCCUUCUGAGGACGCUCUUGUUUCUAUCACUGCAGUGUGGGUGCACAUUUCCACAGCUGAGGAUGCAGCUUCUGAAUGUCCCUCUGUGUGUAUUCACUUCUAAGGUUCCUAUCUAAAAUGUUGUGGGAUUUUUUUUCCCUCCUUACGUCCUUCACAAAACAAACUCUCAGUUUCCAGGUGAAGCCUGUCAUCAUUAAUCUAAUCAUACUUUGCACAGCCUUUGAUUUUUUUGCAUCCUCAGCCUUGACCCAGUGAUAAAUCAGAGUAGUGGAAAGCUCAGUAAUGUCAAAAGCUUCCUGGUGAAUGUGCAAUGGGAAGUCAUUCAGCAGUAAGUAAAUAACCCUUGCAAGUCACACUGUUAGAAAAGAUUGCUUCUACUCUUCCCUUGAGCAGGAUGUCUCAUAUCUUGCUCCAUAUCACCAUGGAUCACAGCAGGAUACCACAGAAAAGAAUUUCUCACCUUCCAAGUCAGUUACUUCUUAUGAUAAAUGCAUUUGCAAGCUGCAGUGUAAAACUUAGUUAAAAUUAUAGCUGCUUUCACUUUUUGAGUUUGCAAUGUUCCACUAUUUCUGGUCUGUUUUAAUGUCCUAACAAAAUGUGACCUGAUUUAAGAUUUCUGUUUUAGUGGAAUCUAAGUGUCCUAUAGGUCUUUAGGGAUUUUGUUGGGGGUUUUUUUGUUUGGUUU
Molecule: long non-coding RNA, 2590 nt
Organism: Passer domesticus (house sparrow)
Lineage: Eukaryota; Metazoa; Chordata; Aves; Passeriformes; Passeridae
Exons: 6
Source: RefSeq, a predicted model, not a curated record